UACGUAGGGGGCAAGCGUUGUCCGGAAUCAUUGGGCGUAAAGCGCGUGUAGGCGGCCCGGUAAGUCCGCUGUAAAAGUCCAGGGCUCAACCCUGGAAAGCCGGUGGAUACUGUCGGGCUCGAGUCCGGAAGAGGCGAGUGGAAUUCCUGGUGUAGCGGUGGAAUGCGCAGAUAUCAGGAGGAACACCGAUGGCGAAGGCAGCUCGCUGGGACGGUACUGACGCUGAGACGCGAAAGCGUGGGGAGCAAACAGG
RNAcentral lists this ribosomal RNA (253 nucleotides) under uncultured bacterium. RNAcentral's name for it is "partial 16S ribosomal RNA". It matches the Rfam family "Bacterial small subunit ribosomal RNA", at positions 524 to 776 of the family's 1533-position model. The record is from RNAcentral.